RNAcentral lists this ribosomal RNA (344 nucleotides) under Pheidole sp. ALM011. Its description in RNAcentral is "partial 16S large subunit ribosomal RNA". Lineage: Eukaryota; Metazoa; Arthropoda; Insecta; Hymenoptera; Formicidae. The record is from RNAcentral.
AAUAGUUUUUUAAAUGGAAACUGGGAUGAAUGAAGUGAUGAGAUUUAAACUGUCUUAAAUUAAGUUAUUGAAUUUAUUAAUUAAGUAAGAAUACUUAAAUAAUUACAUGGGACGAGAAGACCCUAUAGAAUUUGAUAUAGAUUAAAUAAAAAUUUUAAUAGUGAAUUUAUUUAAUUUAUAUUUUAUUGGGAGGAUAGUUAAAUCAAUAAAACUUUAAUAAUAAAAUAUCAUUAAUUUAUGAAUUAAAAGAUAAAGAAUGGCUAAGUAAUGUUUAAUUAGAAUUAAUUACCUUAGGGAUAACAGCGUUAUAUUUUUAGAGAGAUCUUAUUAAUAAAAAUGUUUGC